AGAUCUCCUGGCCUGAGGUCUUUUCCCUCAGAACCCUGGUAUUUGAAGCAGCCUCAUGCAUGCAUCGUCUGAAAUUGUGAAUGCAGCCAAAUUGAAGCAGAAGUUGUUUUGCAGAAAGCCAGUGCUCAGAAGACAAGCUGCAACAUCACACUGGAUAAAGGUUGAUGCUGAUCUGCCAUUAAGAAGCAAUACGUUUGUUAAAAGCGAUUUCUUGUGCACUUUUUUCUUGCAGCAAUAGCUAAAAACUAUUCUCUUUUUAAUGGGUUGGAAACUAUAGCAUUUCUUUAAUGUAGCAUCCAAACAACAACAGAAAAACUGCAGAACUAUUUUUUUUUCUAGAUCACCAAACAUGUAUUUCCCAAACCAUUGUUACUAAACCCAUUCCCAUUAAGGAAAUCAGUGUAUACUUUACAUAUUGCACUUCAUACAUACCUCAAUUACCUUUCAUAUUUAAUAUGAAAAAAGAAAGCUUUUAUUAAUAUUAAUAAUUUAUGUAUAAAAAGUAAGCUUGCACUAUUAAAAAGAACUAGUAACUAUAUUUUUUAUAUGCAUCUAUAGUUAUUAUUAUUGUUCGAACCAGACAUUAACUCUGUACUUAUGUAAUGAUCUCAAACAGAUACUAUAUAACUGAAAGGGAGGAUUAUUUAUUUUAAUCUUAUU
Molecule: long non-coding RNA, 660 nt
Organism: Hemibagrus wyckioides
Lineage: Eukaryota; Metazoa; Chordata; Actinopteri; Siluriformes; Bagridae
Exons: 2
Source: RefSeq, a predicted model, not a curated record